CCCUCCUAUAUAGAGCCGAAAAUAAUUUGAACAUAAACAGGAAUUAUUGCCAGCCAACAACAGGACAAGCAGCAGGAGCAGCAGGAGCAGCAGAGGCAGACGGAGGCCAACAGCAACAUAAGAAAUAACAAGGCCAAGACACAGAGAAAACUUUAAAUUCCCUCAAAUAAGCCAAGAAAGGACAGAGAGCGAGAGAGAGAGAGAGAAAGCCGUGCAGCAGGCGGCGGGGAAAUAAAUAACAACAAAGUUGUCAUAAUAAAAAUACAUAAAUAAAAGCUGAGGAAUUUAUGCCACAAUAACAACGGGGCAGCCCAAGCGGCAGCGGCAGCAGCAGCAGCAGCAGCAACAGCAACAGCAACAGCGGAAGCAGCAGCACCACCGGAAGUAGUUCCAGAACAAGUUGGAAAUCUGGACAUAUUUGUGAUUCGGUGCGUUACUGCUGUUGCCUGAUUUCCAAGGCUCAUACGAUCGGAAUUUAUACUCUCUCUGCAUAAGCGCACCUUCAGAAGUAAAGUGGGAUUUCAAAAUGUUAAACACUAUUGUUUUAAACGCUGAUAUUCCUUUACUGAUGAAAAUUCUCAUAUGUCAGUGCGGAUCUGACACACUGAGGCCGGCUUCGGCUCUGGCUCGUCUUUGGCUCCUCUUUGGCUCCUCUUUGGCUCCUCUUUGGCUCGUUGUGGUAAAAACUGACGGCAAGGCGCCGAAGGUGUGACCACCAGAAAGCCAGACAGACGACAGGCACAUAUUUCAGAGCCGGGCAGGGCAUCGCUUACUUGGCCAUUGGCCUAAUGAGAAAUUAUGGCCGCAUCUACUCGUACGAGAAGCUCGGGCACUCCGGACGUAUGGCCCGGCCCGGCCCGGCUCGGCCUAUACUUUGCGGCUGCUGGCCAAUGCCAAUCUGUCCCUGCCCAGCUCUGUCCUGCCCUGCCCUGUUGUCUGCCCUGCCAUGCCCUGCCCUGUAGUCUGCUCUAAUUAUGCUAACCACUUGCGCAAACUUGGACUUGGGGACAGCGGCCCGAAGAAGUUUCCGAGCUCUGACGGGGGCCACAUCAAAGCAAAAGAUUUAAUUAAAAAUUUGAUAACUUGGUCGCUCUGCGCUGCUGGCCAUCAUCUGCAGAUUCCAUCAUCAGAAAUUUAAUCAAGACUAAAAGUUGGACCAGGCCAGAGCCAGAGCCAGUCCCCACUCGGAUAAUGAGAAUCUACUCAUACGUAAGUAAUUUGCAUAUAUCAAAUACGUAUAAUCGCCGGUGUUCUUAUAGCCUCCUCAGAGGUACGCCAAAGACAGUUCCAAAAUAAAUUGUUUACUGUUACGGAAAUGUAAUUUGCGGUUGAUUUUCUGUAUAUGGGAAUACUCCCAUGCAUGUACAAUGUAAAGAAUCCCUUGAA
RNAcentral lists this small RNA (1386 nucleotides) under Drosophila pseudoobscura pseudoobscura. Its description in RNAcentral is "GA33002". The record is from RNAcentral. Lineage: Eukaryota; Metazoa; Arthropoda; Insecta; Diptera; Drosophilidae.